This 2901-nucleotide ribosomal RNA is filed under the name Escherichia coli. Its description in RNAcentral is "23S ribosomal RNA". It matches the Rfam family "Bacterial large subunit ribosomal RNA". Lineage: Bacteria; Pseudomonadati; Pseudomonadota; Gammaproteobacteria; Enterobacterales; Enterobacteriaceae. The record is from RNAcentral.
GGUUAAGCGACUAAGCGUACACGGUGGAUGCCCUGGCAGUCAGAGGCGAUGAAGGACGUGCUAAUCUGCGAUAAGCGUCGGUAAGGUGAUAUGAACCGUUAUAACCGGCGAUUUCCGAAUGGGGAAACCCAGUGUGAUUCGUCACACUAUCAUUAACUGAAUCCAUAGGUUAAUGAGGCGAACCGGGGAACUGAAACAUCUAAGUACCCCGAGGAAAAGAAAUCAACCGAGAUUCCCCCAGUAGCGGCGAGCGAACGGGGAGGAGCCCAGAGCCUGAAUCAGUGUGUGUGUUAGUGGAAGCGUCUGGAAAGGCGCGCGAUACAGGGUGACAGCCCCGUACACAAAAAUGCACAUACUGUGAGCUCGAUGAGUAGGGCGGGACACGUGGUAUCCUGUCUGAAUAUGGGGGACCAUCCUCCAAGGCUAAAUACUCCUGACUGACCGAUAGUGAACCAGUACCGUGAGGGAAAGGCGAAAAGAACCCCGGCGAGGGGAGUGAAAAAGAACCUGAAACCGUGUACGUACAAGCAGUGGGAGCCUCUUUAUGGGGUGACUGCGUACCUUUUGUAUAAUGGGUCAGCGACUUAUAUUCUGUAGCAAGGUUAACCGAAUAGGGGAGCCGAAGGGAAACCGAGUCUUAACUGGGCGUUAAGUUGCAGGGUAUAGACCCGAAACCCGGUGAUCUAGCCAUGGGCAGGUUGAAGGUUGGGUAACACUAACUGGAGGACCGAACCGACUAAUGUUGAAAAAUUAGCGGAUGACUUGUGGCUGGGGGUGAAAGGCCAAUCAAACCGGGAGAUAGCUGGUUCUCCCCGAAAGCUAUUUAGGUAGCGCCUCGUGAAUUCAUCUCCGGGGUAGAGCACUGUUUCGGCAAGGGGGUCAUCCCGACUUACCAACCCGAUGCAAACUGCGAAUACCGGAGAAUGUUAUCACGGGAGACACACGGCGGGUGCUAACGUCCGUCGUGAAGAGGGAAACAACCCAGACCGCCAGCUAAGGUCCCAAAGUCAUGGUUAAGUGGGAAACGAUGUGGGAAGGCCCAGACAGCCAGGAUGUUGGCUUAGAAGCAGCCAUCAUUUAAAGAAAGCGUAAUAGCUCACUGGUCGAGUCGGCCUGCGCGGAAGAUGUAACGGGGCUAAACCAUGCACCGAAGCUGCGGCAGCGACACUAUGUGUUGUUGGGUAGGGGAGCGUUCUGUAAGCCUGCGAAGGUGUACUGUGAGGUAUGCUGGAGGUAUCAGAAGUGCGAAUGCUGACAUAAGUAACGAUAAAGCGGGUGAAAAGCCCGCUCGCCGGAAGACCAAGGGUUCCUGUCCAACGUUAAUCGGGGCAGGGUGAGUCGACCCCUAAGGCGAGGCCGAAAGGCGUAGUCGAUGGGAAACAGGUUAAUAUUCCUGUACUUGGUGUUACUGCGAAGGGGGACGGAGAAGGCUAUGUUGGUACGGGCGACGGUUGUCCCGGUUUAAGCGUGUAGGCUGGUUUUCCAGGCAAAUCCGGAAAAUCAAGGCUGAGGCGUGAUGACGAGGCGCUACGGUGCUGAAGCAACAAAUGCCCUGCUUCCAGGAAAAGCCUCUAAGCAUCAGGUAACAUCAAAUCGUACCCCAAACCGACACAGGUGGUCAGGUAGAGAAUACCAAGGCGCUUGAGAGAACUCGGGUGAAGGAACUAGGCAAAAUGGUGCCGUAACUUCGGGAGAAGGCACGCUGAUACGUAGGUGAAGUCCCUUGCGGAUGGAGCUGAAAUCAGUCGAAGAUACCAGCUGGCUGCAACUGUUUAUUAAAAACACAGCACUGUGCAAACACGAAAGUGGACGUAUACGGUGUGACGCCUGCCCGGUGCCGGAAGGUUAAUUGAUGGGGUUAGCGGUAACGCGAAGCUCUUGAUCGAAGCCCCGGUAAACGGCGGUACGUAACUAUAACGGUCCUAAGGUAGCGAAAUUCCUUGUCGGGUAAGUUCCGACCUGCACGAAUGGCGUAAUGAUGGCCAGGCUGUCUCCACCCGAGACUCAGUGAAAUUGAACUCGCUGUGAAGAUGCAGUGUACCCGCGGCAAGACGGAAAGACCCCGUGAACCUUUACUAUAGCUUGACACUGAACAUUGAGCCUUGAUGUGUAGGAUAGGUGGGAGGCUUUGAAGUGUGGACGCCAGUCUGCAUGGAGCCGACCUUGAAAUACCACCCUUUAAUGUUUGAUGUUCUAACGUUGGCCCCUGAUCGGGGUUGCGGACAGUGUCUGGUGGGUAGUUUGACUGGGGCGGUCUCCUCCUAAAGAGUAACGGAGGAGCACGAAGGUUGGCUAAUCCUGGUCGGACAUCAGGAGGUUAGUGCAAUGGCAUAAGCCAGCUUGACUGCGAGCGUGACGGCGCGAGCAGGUGCGAAAGCAGGUCAUAGUGAUCCGGUGGUUCUGAAUGGAAGGGCCAUCGCUCAACGGAUAAAAGGUACUCCGGGGAUAACAGGCUGAUACCGCCCAAGAGUUCAUAUCGACGGCGGUGUUUGGCACCUCGAUGUCGGCUCAUCACAUCCUGGGGCUGAAGUAGGUCCCAAGGGUAUGGCUGUUCGCCAUUUAAAGUGGUACGCGAGCUGGGUUUAGAACGUCGUGAGACAGUUCGGUCCCUAUCUGCCGUGGGCGCUGGAGAACUGAGGGGGCUGCUCCUAGUACGAGAGGACCGGAGUGGACGCAUCACUGGUGUUCGGGUUGUCAUGCCAAUGGCACUGCCCGGUAGCUAAAUGCGGAAGAGAUAAGUGCUGAAAGCAUCUAAGCACGAAACUUGCCCCGAGAUGAGUUCUCCCUGACCCUUUAAGGGUCCUGAAGGAACGUUGAAGACGACGACGUUGAUAGGCCGGGUGUGUAAGCGCAGCGAUGCGUUGAGCUAACCGGUACUAAUGAACCGUGAGGCUUAACCUU